UACGGAGGGGGCUAGCGUUUUUCGGAAUUACUGGGCGUAAAGCGCGCGUAGGCGGACCUGCAAGUCGGGGGUGAAAGCCCGAGGCUCAACCUCGGAACUGCCUUCGAUACUGCGGGUCUCGAGUCCGGGAGAGGUGAGUGGAAUUCCUAGUGUAGAGGUGAAAUUCGUAGAUAUUAGGAAGAACACCAGUGGCGAAGGCGGCUCACUGGCCCGGUACUGACGCUGAGGUGCGAAAGCGUGGGGAGCAAACAGG
This 253-nucleotide ribosomal RNA is filed under the name uncultured bacterium. RNAcentral's name for it is "partial 16S ribosomal RNA". It matches the Rfam family "Bacterial small subunit ribosomal RNA", at positions 524 to 776 of the family's 1533-position model. The record is from RNAcentral.